CUACGGGGCGCAGCAGUAGGGAAUCUUGCGCAAUGGGCGAAAGCCUGACGCAGCGACGCCGCGUGAGCGAUGAAGGCCUUCGGGUUGUAAAGCUCUGUGGGGAGAGAAGAAUAAGGGCAAGCUAAUACCUUGUCCGAUGACGGUAUCUCCUUAGCAAGCACCGGCUAACUCUGUGCCAGCAGCCGCGGUGAGACAGAGGGUGCAAACGUUGUUCGGAAUUACUGGGCGUAAAGCGCGUGUAGGCGGCUAUGCAAGUCGGGCGUGAAAGCCCACGGCUCAACCGUGGAAGUGCACUCGAAACUGCGUAGCUAGAGUCCUGGAGAGGAAGGUGGAAUACUUGGUGUAGAGGUGAAAUUCGUAGAUAUCAAGUGGAACACCGGCGGCGAAGGCGGCCUUCUGGACAGUGACUGACGCUGAGACGCGAAAGCGUGGGGAGCAAACAGGAUUAGAUACCCUUGUAGUC
This 463-nucleotide ribosomal RNA is filed under the name uncultured bacterium. RNAcentral's name for it is "partial 16S ribosomal RNA". It matches the Rfam family "Bacterial small subunit ribosomal RNA", at positions 339 to 795 of the family's 1533-position model. The record is from RNAcentral.